UUAAGAGGCCAACAGAAAUCUGAUCUGUGAUGGUAAAUGAGCGUGUCUCUUUAAGACAGGAGUUGUGUGAACAGACUGAAGUGAUCUUCUGAGAGAGUAGGACUAGAAAUGUUCAGACAUCUCCAGAAAUAAUAACCAAAGGAGGCGUCUCUCUCUCUGGGCUUGUCUACCUUUCAACACGUCGCUGCAGUUUUUGCCAAAUGCUUAAAUGGCAGAUAUAUCUGACCACCGACAGCUUUCAGCCGCACGAGGACCCUGAUCAAGAGGCGUGGCUUUGGACACUGAUUAUUCCGGGAGACGCUCCACCAGCAGACCCAUCCUUUCUGUGAGCUGAGCAGCACCGCGCCGCUCCUCGGAGGACUCCGCUGGGCUCGUCUCUGCAGGAACAGCAGCUUGUGGACGGGCAGACGAGCUCUACACACACACCACAUCACUCCAUCAACUAAUACACCAGAAACAGUCGUAAAAACCAAAACAAGAAUCGUGUGAUGGGUUUCUGCAGAGCCAGGCUCCAUACGAUGAUCUCUCCAUCAUAACUCCCAGUAGCCAGAAGUCCCAGACCUGGACAGUGAUCCAUGGCCAGGAUAUCCUCGGCGUGCUGACGACCGGACU
Long non-coding RNA from Puntigrus tetrazona (Sumatra barb), 612 nucleotides. RefSeq lists it as uncharacterized. The transcript has 4 exons. The record is from RefSeq and is a predicted model, not a curated record. Lineage: Eukaryota; Metazoa; Chordata; Actinopteri; Cypriniformes; Cyprinidae.